Molecule: ribosomal RNA, 465 nt
Filed under: uncultured bacterium
Lineage: Bacteria
Description: partial 16S ribosomal RNA
Rfam family: Bacterial small subunit ribosomal RNA
Source: RNAcentral
GACGAACGCUGGCGGCGUGCCUAACACAUGCAAGUCGAACGGAAAGGCCCUGCUUGCUGGGUACUCGAGUGGCGAACGGGUGAGUAACACGUGGGUGCUCUGCCCUGCACUUCGGGAUAAGCCUGGGAAACUGGGUAUAUUCCCGAAUAGGACACACUUUCAGCGGGAUGGUUGGAAAGUUUUUUCGGUGUUGGGCGAGCUGGCGGCCUAUCAGCUUGUUGGUGAGAUUAUGGCCUACCAAGGCGGCGACGGGUAGCCCGCCUGAGAGGGUGGACGGCGACAUUGGGACUGAGAGACGGCCCAGACGCGGACGGGAGGCAGCAGUGGGGAAGAUUGCACAAUGGGCGCAAGCCUGAUGCAGCGGCGCUGCGGGGGGGAUGACGGCCUUCGGGUUGUAAAAUCCUAUCGCUAUAGAAGAAGCUUGUUGUGACGGUACCUAGAGAAGAAGCACCGGCUAACUACGUG